GAUUUCUGACUGCGACCGGUUGAUCCGGCCAGGUUUCUGGUUGUGUAUCGAUUUCGUUUGUCCAGUCAUCCUUGUAUGUGUCUUCGCAAGAGGGUGCAUACAUCUUUUACUUUGAACAAAUUAGAGUGUUUCAAGCAGGCAGUUAUCGCUUUGAAUACAUUAGCAUGGAAUAAUCGUUUAGGACUUUGGUUCUAUUUCGUUGGUUUCGAGAGCUGAAGUAAUGAUUGAUAGGGACAGUCGGGGGUGUCCGAAUUGGGGGGCCAGAGGUGAAAUUCUUGGAUUCCUUCAAGACGAACUUAUGCGAAAGCACU
Molecule: ribosomal RNA, 311 nt
Filed under: uncultured Euglyphida
Lineage: Eukaryota; Cercozoa; Imbricatea; Euglyphida
Description: bacterial SSU rRNA
Rfam family: Eukaryotic small subunit ribosomal RNA (bases 34-311)
Source: RNAcentral